AGAAGCAGUCGGAGCAGGCGCGCCCGCGCAGGAGCGCUGUCGGGAGUUGCAGACGCUGAGGCUGAGUGGGUGGUUCUUCACCUUGUUGGAUCAGAGAUCCUUUAAGAAGGUCUAAGAAAGCUGUAGACCUCUUCAGAAAAAUGCUAGUAAACUCAUCCACACUAAAAUGUGAAGAUGAUUUCAAAGAGAAGUCUGCAGUUACCUGAGGAUAAACAGGUGAAUUCUUUCAAACAUUCAGAGAAGAGUUAACACCUGUUCUUCUGAAACUAUUCCGAAAAAUUGCAGAGCAAGGAGCACUACCAAAUUCAUUCUAUGAGGCCAUCAUCACCCUGAUACCAAAACCAGACAAAGAUACCACAAUAAAAGAAAACUACAGGCCAGUUUCACUGAUGAACACAGAUGCAA
This is a long non-coding RNA of Sus scrofa (pig), 405 nucleotides long. RefSeq lists it as uncharacterized. NCBI's taxonomy places the organism in Eukaryota, Metazoa, Chordata, Mammalia, Artiodactyla, Suidae. The record is from RefSeq and is a predicted model, not a curated record.